GCGGGGAUGGCGGAAAUGGUAGACGCGUAAGACUAAGGAUCUUAUGGCCACAAGCCGUGGGAGUUCGAUUCUCCCUCUCCGCACCA
This 86-nucleotide transfer RNA is filed under the name Synergistales bacterium. RNAcentral describes it as "tRNA-Leu". It matches the Rfam family "tRNA". Rfam says of the family: Transfer RNA (tRNA) molecules are approximately 80 nucleotides in length. Their secondary structure includes four short double-helical elements and three loops (D, anti-codon, and T loops). The record is from RNAcentral. Lineage: Bacteria; Thermotogati; Synergistota; Synergistia; Synergistales.